RNAcentral lists this ribosomal RNA (432 nucleotides) under uncultured bacterium. RNAcentral describes it as "bacterial SSU rRNA". It matches the Rfam family "Bacterial small subunit ribosomal RNA", at positions 917 to 1350 of the family's 1533-position model. The record is from RNAcentral.
GGGCCCGCACAAGCAGUGGAGCAUGUGGUUUAAUUCGAUGCAACGCGAAGAACCUUACCAGGGUUUGACAUCCUGCGAAUUUCUGGGAAACCGGAAAGUGCCUUCGGGAGCGCAGUGACAGGUGGUGCAUGGCUGUCGUCAGCUCGUGUCGUGAGAUGUUGGGUUAAGUCCCGCAACGAGCGCAACCCACGUCUUUAGUUGCCAGCAUUGAGUUGGGCACUCUAGAGAGACCGCCGGUGAUAAACCGGAGGAAGGUGUGGAUGACGUCAAGUCAUCAUGCCCCUUACAUCCUGGGCUACACACGUACUACAAUGCUACGGACAAAGGGCAGCAAACUCGCGAGAGCUAGCAAAUCCCAUAAACCGUGGCUCAGUUCAGAUCGUAGGCUGCAACUCGCCUACGUGAAGGCGGAAUCGCUAGUAAUCGCAGGUC